AUCUCAAUUCUAAUGCAAUUCCUGUUCAGUUCCAUGCAAUUUCUGCAUAGAAACACAACUGAAAGAAAAAUGACAACCAAUCGACCAGUAAAACUGCAAUAAAUACUUUUUAGGUGAGAAAACGUCAAAAGAGUGUGGAUUUGGAGGUCCUUCCAUUGUGCUAAUUAUAGAUCUUUAUUAUCUCUCUGAAUACUUGUCAAUAGUCAUUAAGUUUAUACAAUUUUCUCUUUUUAAUGCAUCAAAAAAUCACCAAAUAGGAAGAAGUAAAUCUGUAUAACGGGACAUCUAACCAUUGGUUUUAAAAUACAUAACCUACAGUCUAAAAUAAAGAAGAAAUAUAUACAUGUGAAGCUUUUUUUUUUGACUGACUAUAUUAUAAAAUAUGCUAAAAUUGUACUGCAAAUGAACUCUCCUCACCUCCCAAAUAAUAACAAAACAUACAGUGACAACAAAAUUGUACAAGUUUAUAUUAAGGCUCUCAAAUUUAAACUAAGCAUAAAAACUGAGCAAUUUAUCUUGGGAUUCUAAAAAAAAAAUGAAUCUAACAAAAUCCAAAUUGAUGAUACCCGACAUGUUGUCAUCAUAUAACAGUCAAAGUUUAUUCUCUGAAGAAAUAUCAAGUUUUAAAAAUAAAUGGGAACAAUACCAAGCAUCAUCUAAAGGCCAGUUUCUAGUUUUCUCAGCACCAUGGGUAACUUUUGUAAGAAAUGAGAUAAUCCUGUAAUCCCAGCUACUCGGGGGGCUGAGGCAGGAGAAUGGCGUGAACCCGGAA
RNAcentral lists this long non-coding RNA (772 nucleotides) under Homo sapiens (human). Its description in RNAcentral is "HSALNT0272338". Lineage: Eukaryota; Metazoa; Chordata; Mammalia; Primates; Hominidae. The record is from RNAcentral.